UGGGGAAUUUUGGACAAUGGGCGAAAGCCUGAUCCAGCAAUGCCGCGUGUGUGAAGAAGGCCUUCGGGUUGUAAAGCACUUUUGUCCGGAAAGAAAUCCUUGGCUCUAAUACAGUCGGGGGAUGACGGUACCGGAAGAAUAAGCACCGGCUAACUACGUGCCAGCAGCCGCGGUAAUACGUAGGGUGCAAGCGUUAAUCGGAAUUACUGGGCGUAAAGCGUGCGCAGGCGGUUUGCUAAGACCGAUGUGAAAUCCCCGGGCUCAACCUGGGAACUGCAUUGGUGACUGGCAGGCUAGAGUAUGGCAGAGGGGGGUAGAAUUCCACGUGUAGCAGUGAAAUGCGUAGAGAUGUGGGGGAAUACCGAUGGCGAAGGCAGCCCCCUGGGCCAAUACUGACGCUCAUGCACGAAAGCGUGGGGAGCAAACAGGAUUAGAUACCCUGGUAGUCCACGCCCUAAACGAUGUCAACUAGUUGUUGGGGAUUCAUUUCCUUAGUAACGUAGCUAACGCGUGAAGUUGACCGCCUGGGGGAGUACGGUCGCAAGAUUAAAACUUAAAGGAAUUGACGGGGUCAUAGCUGUUUCCU
This 586-nucleotide ribosomal RNA is filed under the name uncultured bacterium. RNAcentral's name for it is "partial 16S ribosomal RNA". It matches the Rfam family "Bacterial small subunit ribosomal RNA", at positions 355 to 1375 of the family's 1533-position model. The record is from RNAcentral.